Molecule: long non-coding RNA, 649 nt
Organism: Anguilla rostrata (American eel)
Lineage: Eukaryota; Metazoa; Chordata; Actinopteri; Anguilliformes; Anguillidae
Exons: 3
Source: RefSeq, a predicted model, not a curated record
CUUUCAGAUGGCUUUUGUAAACUACAAUAAUUUUUUAAAUAGAAAAUGCUACUGGAAGGUCACCUGCCAAAGCGCCUAGUACGUGAACAAUUUACACACCAAUGCUGAAUUCUACCCACAUUUGCGAAGGGGGGGGUGGGGGGAUAUUAAUGUCAAGCCCUGACCAGCUUCCUGAAUGCAAUUUCCUCUUUCUGCUCAAGUACCACAGACCACAGUGACAGAAAAUAUAUAAAAUGAAAUGCUGGACGGAGCACUAGCAGCAGUUGUCAGAAAUGGCAGCAUUGGUCUCCAAAGAUUCAGAGGGUAUAUACACUGACCUGGCCAGUCCAGACCAAGAUGUGUACAGCACACUGGGCCAGACCUCACUCAACAGCCCAGGAGCUCAGCACAAAGAGCACAGUGGGCAAAGCUCAUAUCCCUACAGACGGGUUGCAGUGGGUCUGGGGCUGCUGUGUGCUCUCUUAUUGGCUGCCACAGUAGUCUUGUGUGUCCUCUAUACAAGUCUAUCAAAGAACUAUUCAAUGUUGGAGAUAGAUCUGGAGGAGCUCAGAAGCAACUACAGCACCAUGAAUACAGAGAUAGUCCAGCUACAGGGUAAAUACAAUGAAUUAAGAAACUCCACUUUUUGUAGCAGUACUGUCCCUCCAGU